This 1019-nucleotide long non-coding RNA is filed under the name Homo sapiens (human). RNAcentral's name for it is "HSALNT0362426". Lineage: Eukaryota; Metazoa; Chordata; Mammalia; Primates; Hominidae. The record is from RNAcentral.
GGACUAUCUCGUAACCCAUCUGUGAAGCAGGGAGAAGUCCAAGCUUCCUCAUGAAGAGGAUCACAUCAAGGUAGCCAAUUGAUAGUUUCUGGAUUUUCUCCUUGUAAGAACCAUCUACUCAAAUGGAAGCAAAAGGGGAGGGAAUGGGAGAAAAAAAACCAUAAAACUAAGCAUAUAAACAAAGGAGACUCUUUUAGCUCAGAAGAGAUGACAUUAUCUUUUAAUUGACAACUUUAAAUUCUUGACAUUAUCUGAGGAGAGAACUCUAAUUAGAAGACAGCAGCAAGAGAACAUAAGGAGAUUUACUUUUAUUGAACAUCUGAUUUAUGCUGAUGAAAAUAUACUUGCUGCACAUACUCCCUCAGUCUCAUUUAUCUCCUAAUAUUCACCUCAUCCUUUAAUUUAUUCAUUUACUUAACAAAGAGUUAACACAUGCUUAUCUUGUGGCUGCAACAUAGUAACCUGGAGAUUGUCAGUGGGGCCUGGGACAAAGGGACCAGAGACGAAGUCUCACUCUGUCACCCAGGCUGCAGUGCAGUGGCACGAUCUCGGCUCACUACAACCUCCACCUCCCAGGUUUAAGCGAUUCUCCUGCCUCACCCUCCUGAGUAGCUGGGAUUACAGAGUGAAGCCAAAGGCACAGGAAGCACAGCUGGAAUGGGGACAUAGGAACGCGGGGGCUCCCAUGAGUUGACCGGACAACUGAGAGAUGGCAACCUAGACCUGGGGAGCUGACAUAAAAAACACUCAAGAGAACUGAGUCUGGAAAAUGUGAGAAGAAAGUUAAUUUUGGCAAAUUUCUGAGAAAUGAAAAGACGUAUCAACAAGAAAUUUCAUUUCUAAGAGGACAAAAUAUGCUAUGUUUUCGUGAAUCCAUGAUUCGACCUGAAGAAGAAGGAAAGAACUGGACAUCCAGAUGAGUACAUUGAUAUCGAAGAAAAAAAGAGGAGGGAGCACACAGGUGAGCAGGUGCAGGAACCAGCCGGACAAUUUGCCGCCAGCAGGAAUGAACUCCAAGC